UUAGUGGCGACGGGUGAGUAACACGUGGGCAAUCUGCCCUUCACUCUGGGACAAGCCCUGGAAACGGGGUCUAAUACCGGAUAACACUUCCACUCUCCUGGGUGGAGGUUAAAAGCUCCGGCGGUGAAGGAUGAGCCCGCGGCCUAUCAGCUUGUUGGUGAGGUAAUGGCUCACCAAGGCGACGACGGGUAGCCGGCCUGAGAGGGCGACCGGCCACACUGGGACUGAGACACGGCCCAGACUCCUACGGGAGGCAGCAGUGGGGAAUAUUGCACAAUGGGCGAAAGCCUGAUGCAGCGACGCCGCGUGAGGGAUGACGGCCUUCGGGUUGUAAACCUCUUUCAGCAGGGAAGAAGCGAAAGUGACGGUACCUGCAGAAGAAGCGCCGGCUAACUACGUGCCAGCAGCCGCGGUAAUACGUAGGGCGCAAGCGUUGUCCGGAAUUAUUGGGCGUAAAGAGCUCGUAGGCGGCUUGUCGCGUCGGUUGUGAAAGCCCGGGGCUUAACCCCGGGUCUGCAGUCGAUACGGGCAGGCUAGAGUGUGGUAGGGGAGAUCGGAAUUCCUGGUGUAGCGGUGAAAUGCGCAGAUAUCAGGAGGAACACCGGUGGCGAAGGCGGAUCUCUGGGCCAUUACUGACGCUGAGGAGCGAAAGCGUGGGGAGCGAACAGGAUUAGAUACCCUGGUAGUCCACGCCGUAAACGGUGGGAACUACGUGUUGGCGACAUUCCACGUCGUCGGUGCCGCAGCUAACGCAUUAAGUUUCCCCGCCUGGGGAGUACGGCCGCAAGGCUAAAACUCAAAAGGAAUUGACGG
RNAcentral lists this ribosomal RNA (813 nucleotides) under Streptomyces sp. RNAcentral describes it as "bacterial SSU rRNA". It matches the Rfam family "Bacterial small subunit ribosomal RNA", at positions 92 to 916 of the family's 1533-position model. The record is from RNAcentral. Lineage: Bacteria; Bacillati; Actinomycetota; Actinomycetes; Kitasatosporales; Streptomycetaceae.